GAUGAACGCUGGCGGCGUGCCUAAUACAUGCAAGUCGAGCGAACGGACGAGAAGCUUGCUCCUCUGAUGUUAGCGGCGGACGGGUGAGUAACACGUGGAUAACCUACCUAUAAGACUGGGAUAACUUCGGGAAACCGGAGCUAAUACCGGAUAAUAUUUUGAACCGCAUGGUUCAAAAGUGAAAGACGGUCUUGCUGUCACUUAUAGAUGGAUCCGCGCUGCAUUAGCUAGUUGGUAAGGUAACGGCUUACCAAGGCAACGAUGCAUAGCCGACCUGAGAGGGUGAUCGGCCACACGGGAACUGAGACACGGUCCAGACUCCUACGGGAGGCAGCAGUAGGGAAUCUUCCGCAAUGGGCGAAAGCCUGACGGAGCAACGCCGCGUGAGUGAUGAAGGUCUUCGGAUCGUAAAACUCUGUUAUUAGGGAAGAACAUAUGUGUAAGUAACUGUGCACAUCUUGACGGUACCUAAUCAGAAAGCCACGGCUAACUACGUG
This 497-nucleotide ribosomal RNA is filed under the name uncultured bacterium. RNAcentral's name for it is "partial 16S ribosomal RNA". It matches the Rfam family "Bacterial small subunit ribosomal RNA", at positions 28 to 507 of the family's 1533-position model. The record is from RNAcentral.